This 249-nucleotide unclassified non-coding RNA is filed under the name plant metagenome. Its description in RNAcentral is "partial contains small subunit ribosomal RNA, internal transcribed spacer 1, and 5.8S ribosomal RNA". The stretch from base 201 to 249 matches the Rfam family "5.8S ribosomal RNA", at positions 1 to 49 of the family's 154-position model. The record is from RNAcentral.
UCUCCGUAGGUGAACCUGCGGAGGGAUCAUUACAGAGUUCUCGCCCUCGCGGGUAGAUCUCCCACCCACUGUUAUCGUUACUGUGUUGCUUUGGCGGGCCGCCGGGCCCCGCUCGGCCGCCGGCUCCGGCUGGCGCGCGCCCGCCAGAGGCCCAGCAAACUCUGAAUGUUAGUGUCGUCUGAGUACUAUAUAAUAGUUAAAACUUUCAACAACGGAUCUCUUGGUUCUGGCAUCGAUGAAGAACACAGC